GCAACGCCACGGCUCUAAUCUCACACUGAUAAUGAAAAACACAUGCUCGGGUGGCUGGUGGUCCGGCUCUGGUCACAGCGGGACACACGGAUGGCAGGAUUUACACCAGGUCACUUAAGGAUUAUUAAGGACACAGGGUGACAUGAGACCUUCGUAAAUGGAUUGACGAGAACUGACAUAAUCCUACAGAAUGAGUUGUUAUAGCAACAUCAAUGUAACUGUGGACCAAUAUUACAUGUUCAUACCAUAGAAACACAUUCAUUAUGUUCAUAGGGCUGCAUGACACCUUAAUAAGCCUUUUAUGAGAACUGACACACAUUACAGAAUGAUUUAUAAAAGGUCUCAGUUGCAAUAAAGGCAUCAAAUAUAACCGGCAUGACACCUAAGGCUUUUAUAGAAACUGACCAUUAUUUACAAAGAUCUUAUUUUUUUUCGUAAAUGAAUAUAAAUAUGUUAUAACUAUUACACCACGAGUCAAUAUUACAUUAUCAUUAGGUUUCUAUCUUUUUAAUUCAAUUUUCAAACAGAUCUUUUUAUGAAAACUGACAUAAAUAUAAACUAUUUAUGAUGAUUUCAGUUGUCAUAAGGAUAUCAACUUUUUUUUUUCUUUCUUUCUUUACACAAAUCUAUUAUUUCCCAUUUAUCUCAUUCCUUUCUUCCAACAUUUAUAUUUUGUAUUCAUAUUCGCCUUCCUUCCUUUCUUCCUUCUUUGAUCUAUAUUCAUACUUCUUUCCUUGUAUGUCUAUCAAUUUAUCUUCUUUCUUGCUCUUUAAUUUUUUCCAUGCAUUCCUUCCAUAUUUAUCUUAUUUUAUCUUCUUUCUUUCUAUUGUUUUUAAAUAAUAUUAGAUCUUUCUUACAUUUUUCUUUCUAUUUCUUUAUUUCAUUCUUUUUUCCAGAUUUUUAUUCCACUUUAUUUCUUUUAUUUAUCUUCUUUCAUUACCUUUUCUUUUCUGGUUCCAUAUUUAUAUUUUUCAUUUCUUUCUUUCUUUUUCUUUCUUCUUUCUUUUUCACUUAUAUCAUAUACUGUAUUUAUAUAAUUUUCUAUUUGCCUUCUUUCCUGCUUGAAUCAUUUUCUUUAUUUUUUAUUCCUUUCUUCCUUCUUCUGUGAUUUGUAUUCUUUCUUUUUUACAUAGUUAAAUAAUUUUCCAUCUUUCUUUCUUUCUUUCAUCCAUUUUUUCUUGAUAUUCUUUAUUGUUUUCCCUUCAUCCCUUUAUUCUUUCCUGCUUUCCUUAUUUUCUUUCUUUAGAAAAUAUUUACAGUAACUGGUUCAUUCACACAUUCCUCACUGAUCAGUUUAGACUCUACCCAACAACCUUUUUUAAUUAUCGCUACUUGAUGCACAGUUUGAAACAUCUGAACUUUUUUAAACACUUGCAGCUGACCCAGUCUGCCCUGCGCACUAGAAAACACACCACGUCCUUCGUUUCCCUUGACGCAAUGGAAAAAAAACAAGCGAUGUGAGACCCCACAACUAUGUCUCAAGCCUCCAAGAAUACUCCUGAGUCUCCAAAACAAACGUCAUACCAAAGUGUCCCAGGCUUAUUUAUCUUAUUUUCUCACAGAUUCA
Molecule: long non-coding RNA, 1567 nt
Organism: Clarias gariepinus (North African catfish)
Lineage: Eukaryota; Metazoa; Chordata; Actinopteri; Siluriformes; Clariidae
Exons: 3
Source: RefSeq, a predicted model, not a curated record